UACGUAGGUGGCAAGCGUUAUCCGGAUUUACUGGGUGUAAAGGGCGUGUAGGCGGGACUGCAAGUCAGAUGUGAAACCCAUGGGCUCAACCCAUGGCCUGCAUUUGAAACUGUAGUUCUUGAGUGAUGGAGAGGCAGGCGGAAUUCCGUGUGUAGCGGUGAAAUGCGUAGAUAUACGGAGGAACACCAGUGGCGAAGGCGGCGAUCUGGGGUGCAACUGACGCUCAGUCCCGAAAGCGUGGGGAGCAAAUAGG
RNAcentral lists this ribosomal RNA (253 nucleotides) under uncultured Oscillospira sp. RNAcentral describes it as "partial 16S ribosomal RNA". It matches the Rfam family "Bacterial small subunit ribosomal RNA", at positions 524 to 776 of the family's 1533-position model. The record is from RNAcentral. Lineage: Bacteria; Bacillati; Bacillota; Clostridia; Eubacteriales; Oscillospiraceae.